UCAAAUCAGCAACUUCAGGCAACGGA
This 26-nucleotide non-coding RNA is filed under the name Rattus norvegicus (Norway rat). The record is from RNAcentral. Lineage: Eukaryota; Metazoa; Chordata; Mammalia; Rodentia; Muridae.